This 253-nucleotide ribosomal RNA is filed under the name uncultured bacterium. Its description in RNAcentral is "partial 16S ribosomal RNA". It matches the Rfam family "Bacterial small subunit ribosomal RNA", at positions 524 to 776 of the family's 1533-position model. The record is from RNAcentral.
UACGUAGGGUGCGAGCGUUGUCCGGAAUUAUUGGGCGUAAAGAGCUUGUAGGCGGUCUGUCGCGUCUGCUGUGAAAAUCCGGGGCUCAACCCCGGACUUGCAGUGGGUACGGGCAGACUAGAGUGUGGUAGGGGAGACUGGAAUUCCUGGUGUAGCGGUGAAAUGCGCAGAUAUCAGGAGGAACACCCGUAGCGAAGGCGGCACUCUGGGCCGAUUCUGACACUGAGGAGCGAAAGCGUGGGGAGCGAACAGG